RNAcentral lists this ribosomal RNA (420 nucleotides) under uncultured bacterium. RNAcentral's name for it is "bacterial LSU rRNA". It matches the Rfam family "Bacterial large subunit ribosomal RNA", at positions 598 to 1019 of the family's 2925-position model. The record is from RNAcentral.
GGCGUACCUUUUGUAUAAUGGGUCAGCGACUUACGUUGUGUGGCGAGCUUAACCAUCUAGGGGAGGCGAAGGGAAACCGAGUCUGAAUAGGGCGCACAGUCGCACGGCGUAGACCCGAAACCGGGUGAUCUAUCCAUGCCCAGGGUGAAGGUCCGGUAACACGGACUGGAGGCCCGAACCCACUCCUGUUGCAAAAGUAGGGGAUGAGGUGUGGAUAGGAGUGAAAAGCUAAUCGAACCCGGAGAUAGCUGGUUCUCCUCGAAAGCUAUUUAGGUAGCGCCUCGUGUAUCACUGUUGGGGGUAGAGCACUGUUAUGGCUAGCGGGUCAUUGCGACUUAGCAAACCAUUGCAAACUCCGAAUACCAACACGUGCGAGCACGGGAGACACACGGCGGGUGCUAACGUCCGUCGUGAAAAGGG